UACGUAGGUGGCAAGCGUUGUCCGGAAUUAUUGGGCGUAAAGCGCGCGCAGGCGGUCCUUUAAGUCUGAUGUGAAAGCCCACGGCUCAACCGUGGAGGGUCAUUGGAAACUGGGGGACUUGAGUGCAGAAGAGAAGAGUGGAAUUCCACGUGUAGCGGUGAAAUGCGUAGAGAUGUGGAGGAACACCAGUGGCGAAGGCGACUCUUUGGUCUGUAACUGACGCUGAGGAGCGAAAGCGUGGGGAGCGAACAGG
This 253-nucleotide ribosomal RNA is filed under the name uncultured bacterium. RNAcentral's name for it is "partial 16S ribosomal RNA". It matches the Rfam family "Bacterial small subunit ribosomal RNA", at positions 524 to 776 of the family's 1533-position model. The record is from RNAcentral.